GUCUGUUGUUCAUUGGGAAAUUAAUCUAGACUGAGUGAGUGGUCUAAGGUGCGGCCUAAUUAGUGUAGAACUGUUGCCGUGGAGCCAUGCUGUGUCGUUUUUGUAUUAGCAUAAACAGGUCGGUCUGCGCUAUAGAAUUGUUUCAGAUGUUUACAAGCUUUGCAUUUCGAGGAUACAAACAACGUAUUCGAUUACUGCAUGUAAAUCAUGGAUGAAGAGGAAAAAAAAUCAUAAGUCAAAGAAGACUCUUACAAAGCUUCCUCCGUUAUGUGCCGUGAUUUUCUCGAAAACCUCGUAAAAGGCUACACGCUCAGACUCGGAAGUUGCUGUGAUCAUCAUCCUACUUUUGAAUCAGAUGUCAAAAUACUAAUAUUCAAGCGCCUGUUAAUGAAUCUACUGGCUGAAAAGAUCCAUUCACAAGCAUUACCCGAAGGUGCACCUUUUCUUAUGCACAUGAGGAUGUCAAUGCAUGAUUCAGCAACGAGGCUGAAAACUGAGGAGGAAAUGAUGAUCCCAUUGAACUACUUCUUAAAGUCAACAUGAUUAUUAACGUAAUUUAAUUAUGACAUUCACACCUUGAUGCAACAUAGUAUGUCUGAUUUGACAAAAUUUACUCGUCCACUUCACUACAAGAUUACAAACAACGAUUCGAUAGUGAAAACGUUCUACAUAAGGAUGGGUGACUCGCCUACAUGUAACAAGAAAUCCGAAGGAGGUAAACAAACAUGGUAUAAGCGUCGCAAAAUUUCUAGCUUGAGAGGAAUACCAAAACUUUUCCCGUUCAUCUUUAAUGCAUUUUUUAAAGAAAGAAUUUUUAUCCUCUUCACUGAUUGGAAAUGGUCAAUAAGUUAUCAUAUUGAUUAGUACAAAUCAUCUGUGAAAAAAAUAAGCUAUAUAAGAACAGUAAGAAACAAUGCUGUAAAUAGAUGGAGACAUUUUUUUCGCACAUGCAUAGGGAAUAUGUCAAAUGUUUUCUAAAUAGUCAACUCUUUAUGAAAAAGAGAAUAUACGUGCAGACACAAUACAAAACGUGAUCAUGGAUGAUGAGAAAGUUAUAUGUAAACCCUUUGUUUAAAGCAAGUAAUAAAAUGUUCCACUACUGUAAUCCAAAAACACUUCAUGAUAUUAUAAUAUUCUUUAAGAUUUCUUUCUACACGUAUUUCUUUUUUUUUAUGGCAUUGUAAAUCCAAAGGCAAUUACGAGUUAUGAUGAUAUGUUGAUCUUUCUGGUGGAUUCACCAACUUUCUGAUCUUUUAUGUAAACUGAACAAAGCAUUCAUGUUGGUGGGCCCACCAAUUAUGUAUUCAAUUGCAGCGAUAAACUAAUUGUUACCGGCCUGGAGUCUCUUUGGUGAAUCCACCAAUUUUGUAAUUUUUUUUAUAAUUCGUAUAACUUGAUAUCUGGUGGAUCCACCAAGUAUGGGUAUUUUGAAUUUUGUCAAUCUUUUUGGUGGCUUCACCAACUUUCUUCUUGUGUAUAUAAACUGACAUGUUUUGCGGUGUUUCUGUUUAUUUAAUGCCAUCGAUAAAUGUUUAGAAACUUUUGGUGAUUGCACCAACUUUGUACUCUAUAUUUGUUUGUAAAAUUUUAUUGGUGGAUCCACCAAAUAUUUGGAUAAAGAAAUUCUGUCUGCAUUUUUCAUUCUUUGGUGAGAUCACCAAAUUUAAUCAGUAAAGUAUAAAACAAAACGAGUAUUGCAUAUUUGAAGCUGUCUAAAAAAAUACAAUCGCCAAAAUUUUAUUAUUGGUGGACCCACCAAGUUUAUUCGUAAGUGAGAUAUUCGAUGAAAUAACUUGGUUGAUUCACCAAUAUUGUGACUGUUAUUGUGGAAUAUGAAGGUUUUAAGGUACUGUAAAAUGUGCUUUUGUGUGAAAACGAUGGUGGGUUCACCAAUUUAUGUUGUGUUCAAAAACAAAAAUGAAUAAAAAUCAUGUUCAUUUCUG
Molecule: long non-coding RNA, 1943 nt
Organism: Magallana angulata
Lineage: Eukaryota; Metazoa; Mollusca; Bivalvia; Ostreida; Ostreidae
Exons: 3
Source: RefSeq, a predicted model, not a curated record